This 497-nucleotide ribosomal RNA is filed under the name uncultured bacterium. RNAcentral's name for it is "partial 16S ribosomal RNA". It matches the Rfam family "Bacterial small subunit ribosomal RNA", at positions 28 to 507 of the family's 1533-position model. The record is from RNAcentral.
GAUGAACGCUGGCGGCGUGCCUAAUACAUGCAAGUCGAGCGAACGGACGAGAAGCUUGCUUCUCUGAUGUUAGCGGCGGACGGGUGAGUAACACGUGGAUAACCUACCUAUAAGACUGGGAUAACUUCGGGAAACCGGAUCUAAUACAGGAUAAUAUUGUGAACCGCAUGGUCCAAAAGUGAAAGACGGUCUUGCUGUCACUUAUAGAUGGAUCCGCGCUGCAUUAGCUAGUUGGUAAGGUAACGGCUUACCAAGGCAACGAUGCGUAGCCGACCUGAGAGGGUGAUCGGCCACACUGGAACUGAGACACGGUCCAGACUCCUACGGGAGGCAGCAGUAGGGAAUCUUCCACAAUGGGCGAAAGCCUGACGGAGCCACGCCGCGUGAGUGAUGAAGGUCUUCGGAUCGUAAAGCUCUUUUAUUAGGGAAGAACAUAUGUGUAAGUAUCUCUUCACGUCUUGACGUUACCUAAUCAAAAAGCCACGGCUAACUACGUG